AUCGAAGUCACCUGAAGGACGGCUUUCCUCAGCAACGGCAAGGCCCGCACUCCUCUCAUAUUGUGAAGUUUAACAAGUUUCGCGGCUCAAACAAGAGGCACCUGUCACUGAAGGACUGCUUUUCUCAGCUACGACGUGAACAGCAUCACUCGAAUUUCCUGGUUCAGCUGAUCUACCCAUCUUCGUACAAGCAGAGUUGGCAGAGGAGGUCAUAAAAAUC
This is a long non-coding RNA of Carassius auratus (goldfish), 220 nucleotides long. RefSeq lists it as uncharacterized. The transcript has 3 exons. NCBI's taxonomy places the organism in Eukaryota, Metazoa, Chordata, Actinopteri, Cypriniformes, Cyprinidae. The record is from RefSeq and is a predicted model, not a curated record.